Molecule: ribosomal RNA, 478 nt
Filed under: uncultured bacterium
Lineage: Bacteria
Description: partial 16S ribosomal RNA
Rfam family: Bacterial small subunit ribosomal RNA
Source: RNAcentral
GACGAACGCUGGCGGCGUGCUUAACACAUGCAAGUCGAACGGUAAGGCCCUUCGGGGUACACGAGUGGCGAACGGGUGAGUAACACGUGGGUGAUCUGCCCUGCACUUCGGGAUAAGCCUGGGAAACUGGGUCUAAUACCGGACAGGACUCCUGGCUUCAUGGUUGGGGGUGGAAAGCUUUUGCGGUGUGGGAUGGGCCCGCGGCCUAUCAGCUUGUUGGUGGGGUCAUGGCCUACCAAGGCGACGACGGGUAGCCGGCCUGAGAGGGUGACCGCUCACACUGGGACUGAGAUACGGCCCAGACUCCUACGGGAGCGAGCGGUGGGGAAUAUUGCACAAUGGGCGCAAGCCUGAUGCAGCGCCGCCGCGUGAGGGAUGACGGCCUUCGGGUUGUAAACCUCUUUCAGCUAUGACGAAGCGCAAGUGACGGUAGUAGCAGAAGAAGGACCGGCCAACUACGUGCCAGCAGCCGCCGUAA